ACCUGCUCUAUGAUUAUUAUAAUUAAAUGGCCGCGAUAUAUUGAUCGUGCAAAGGUAGCAUAAUCAUUAGUUUCUUAAUUAGGAACUGGAAUGAAAGGUUGAACGAAAAAAUAACUGUCUCAAUUUAAUUUAAUUAGAAUUUUAUUUUUAAGUAAAAAAGCUUAAAUAAAUUUAAAAGACGAGAAGACCCUAUAGAGUUUUAUAUUUAUAAAUUUUAAAAAAAAAUAUAGUAUAUAAUUUUUUAUUAUUAUUAAGUAUUUAGUUGGGGUGACUAAAAAAUUUAAUUAACUUUUUUUUAUUUAAAACAUUAAUGUAUGAAUAAUUGAUCCAUAAAUUAUGAUUAAAAGAUUAAAUUAC
Molecule: ribosomal RNA, 357 nt
Filed under: Helictopleurus perrieri
Lineage: Eukaryota; Metazoa; Arthropoda; Insecta; Coleoptera; Scarabaeidae
Description: partial 16S ribosomal RNA
Source: RNAcentral